This 253-nucleotide ribosomal RNA is filed under the name uncultured bacterium. RNAcentral's name for it is "partial 16S ribosomal RNA". It matches the Rfam family "Bacterial small subunit ribosomal RNA", at positions 524 to 776 of the family's 1533-position model. The record is from RNAcentral.
UACGUAGGGGGCGAGCGUUGUCCGAAGUUACUGGGCGUAAAGAGCUCGUAGGUGGUUUGUCGCGUUGUUCGUGAAAUCUCACGGCUUAACUGUGAGCGUGCGGGCGAUACGGGCAGACUGGAGUACUGCAGGGGAGACUGGAAUUCCUGGUGUAGCGGUGGAAUGCGCAGAUAUCAGGAGGAACACCGGUGGAGAAGGCGGGUCUCUGGGCAGUAACUGACGCUGAGGAGCGAAAGCGUGGGGAGCGAACAGG